Long non-coding RNA from Lynx canadensis (Canada lynx), 1108 nucleotides. RefSeq lists it as uncharacterized. The transcript is spliced from 2 exons. The record is from RefSeq and is a predicted model, not a curated record. Lineage: Eukaryota; Metazoa; Chordata; Mammalia; Carnivora; Felidae.
CACCCAGGCGCCCCUGAUUUCAUUGUUUUCUUGAUGACACCCUUCCUCCUGCUCUCUUGCAUCUCAUCGCCCUCCAGGCCUGCCACACAGCUCUCAAGCUUAUCAUCUUUGCCCUGGGGACUCCAGUCAUCUCUCCUGCAUUGGAUUUCCUAUUUCCUGGAUCCUCUUUCAUGGUUUACACUCUCAUUUAGCUGAGUCUGGCUGAGAGGCAGAGAUUCGGCUCUGGGGCUGCCUGCCGAGUGACCAGUCCUCCCGGGUCCUUCAACAAGCCACCUUGCCUCUGCUUCACUGGUUUUCCAAUUAUAAGAUAAGAAGACUAAUACUUCUCUGUGUAUGUGUGAGAGCAUCACAUUUGUAAUAAAGUCCACGUCUUCCAUCAUUUAUACCUCUGCCUUCCACCCCAAACAUAAGAAAAUGUAUGCUGUAGAAAAAAGCAGUAAGCCUACCUUGGUUAAACUUGAACUUAGUUUGAACUGAAAUCUGAAAGAUUAUUUUAGUCAGCAUCAAGUUUUAAGCCUUGGAAAUCAUCUUAGACGCUAAUGGUAAAAUUUUCGCACUCAAAGCAUUGUUUCAUCCGUUGGUGCCAAAAUUCUCCUCGUGAAAGUUACCGCAUUUAAGGAACUUGUGUGGACCUAGAAUGGACAUGUGAUUUGUCUUGUCAAUUAACGAAAAACAAUUUCUUCUUCAAAAAAGCAUUUUUAACUUAGCUGUUGGUUUUUCAUUACAAAAUGCUUCCUAAAUCUUAAACGACAUGUCCUGUUGAAAAUUACUUGUGACUAUUUUCUUGAAAUUAUUCUUUCACAAUUUACGGAAUAAUAUAUGGGCAAUGUAUAUGUGACCGUGUGCAUAUACACCUGUAUAACAUAUUUUAAAGUGAGAAGAUUUUAAGAGAUUACAGAAUAGAAAGAAUGCGACAUUCAAACAUGGAUACCUUAAAUGACAAUUUAACCCACCAAUACAUGGACCAUGGUGUAGUAAUUUUAGUGCAAAGAGACAUGUAUUUUGUGUUGUGUGGGCCACCUCUUGAAUGAGACUGACUCUGCAGAAGGCCAAGGACUACAGGAGCCUCGGUGUAGCAGAAAUGAAAAUAAAGGCACUACGUAUCUUC